UACGAAGGGGGCUAGCGUUGCUCGGAAUCACUGGGCGUAAAGCGCACGUAGGCGGCUUUCUAAGUCAGGGGUGAAAUCCCGGAGCUCAACUCCGGAACUGCCUUUGAUACUGGAAAGCUUGAGUUCGAGAGAGGUGAGUGGAACUGCGAGUGUAGAGGUGAAAUUCGUAGAUAUUCGCAAGAACACCAGUGGCGAAGGCGGCUCACUGGCUCGAUACUGACGCUGAGGUGCGAAAGCGUGGGGAGCAAAC
This 250-nucleotide ribosomal RNA is filed under the name uncultured prokaryote. RNAcentral's name for it is "partial 16S ribosomal RNA". It matches the Rfam family "Bacterial small subunit ribosomal RNA", at positions 524 to 773 of the family's 1533-position model. The record is from RNAcentral.